CAAGUCACCAUGCCCGACGCUCUAUGCACUCCACCCAAGCUCUGUUCCUCAUCGAUGUCUCCCUCACCCCGCAUCCCAGCAAGCGAGCAAGAUGCUAGAAAGCGACACGGAAUAGACGAGUCCCGUCUCUUGCGGUCGCCGUGCACGGAGAAGGCUGAGCAGAUCCUGCUUCUUCAAGCGUCACAGGUACUUCUGCUUGGUCCCCUCAGAAGUCGCGUGUCUGUCGCACACGCUUCCGCUUUUAGCUGGCGUACUUCGAGUUCCUCGGUUACUGUGUGGAGUGCUGCGAAGCUGUCUACACGUCUGCGAGUGCGUCGCGGCAUUUCUUGUAUCUGCUCUCUGAGAAACGGAGCAGACGAAAGGAAGAAAAAUGUAAGAGGCAAGGUAACUCGGACGCGACUAUUGCGAAGCUUUUCAGAUACGCCUCUGCCGGAGGCGCCCUAAUCAGCAAGUGUAUUGCAAGCAUCGAGUGCACCAAGAGGUGCCGAUCAAGGCGCUUCUACACCACUUCGAGAGCACGCGGCGAGUAUGUGAAGGUGGUCAUCGAACAUCCGCAGCAGCUCGGUGGUGCGGCGGACGCCGCAACAGACGCAUGGCACCGGUGCAUACUGCGUGUAGCACACACAUCAAGCACACACACGCCCCCAUUAAGAAACAAGGUGCUGCUUGUGUGAGCCGAAUGAAUACGCCUGCUCGACCGCUACGAAGCGGAGUGAUUGGAGGGAGCAAUCCGCGACAUGUAUAAAUGGCGUGGCACAGCGUUCACAUACAGCUGAAACAGCAUCCAAGUGUCUCCUCAGAUGAAGGGCGCAUGCUCUUCUUCCUUCUUUUCCUCUCUACGAGAGUCUUCUUGUCGCUUCAUUUGGCUUCGCCGAUGGGGCUGUGUGUUGAGAUGCAUAGGUGCGUCUGGGGCUGGUUUGCGUGUUCAUCUGUGUGUGCGUGGGGGCUCUAUUUCGGCCAGGCAUCAGCCCACACCGCCACGAUAUCAUCCCUAUCAACUCUCGCGCAGCAUCUUUCGCUCUGUUUUCUUCUUCCCAUUUUCAGCGUCCAUCCCCUCCUAUCCCGCUCGCUGGGACUUUUGCCUUUUCGCACUCAUCAGCUCUGCUGCGGAUGACGCUGAUGAGGAUCCUGCUGCUGCCGCUCUUUGCUUCCUUUCCUUUCGUCUUGUGUGUUGUGUACACGCGGGUGUGUGGGGCGCGGAGCGGUUGCGGGCCUAUGAUUCUCACGCUUCAUUCCAUUUUUUCUGCUGCCCUCUCCCCUCCACCCCCCCCGCCCAUGGGAGAGCUUCGCAGCGCCUCUUGCCCUGUCUUUUCUCGGCACUCACGCGUACGUGCGGCGAAGCACAGGGUGACAGAAUGGAGCUGCCGUUUAUUUGCUUUUGUUUUUUUUUCUGCUGUGGUGCUCCCCUCCUCGUUCUCCCCAGCGGCCAUGCGCCCACGCAUAUGAACGCGCGCUCACGAAAUCUGCCUCUUGAGCAGGAGAGGCAUCCGCAAGAUGUCUGCACAGCUCAACUGACACUCCCCCUCCUCCACGCACACGCAUGCACACGUCUUCAUCGUUCCGCUGCUUCUCAUGUGCAUACUGCCUUCGUCUGCUUCUCUGCUUUCAUGUUCCCGUCUUGCUCGUCUGGACCGCGGUGGUUGGCCGGAAGGCUGAUCAGCAGCCCUGUGGGCUGCUUCUUAUGACGCAACGAGGAGAGCUUCGCGUUUAGCGGGUGCCUCAGUGAAAUGAAGCACGCUGGCGGCCCAAAACGCCUCCGUGCAAAAAGGCAGAGACGUGUGUGCCGGUGCCUGCUCACCAACGGGAUGCUGGGCGGCGCUCUAUCUGUCCCAGAUGUCUCUCUUCCCGCCCGCGCCGCCGCUCUCACGGGUAUCAACGAACAUGCACAGUAGCGCUUGCUGAACCAUGAAGCGAAUCCGAUCCCUCUUUUCUUCGCUGCUCCCUCUACUUCUCAUCUGCGCUUCCCCCUCUCUCUAUAUAUACAUUACCGAUCCUGUGUUGUCCUACGAUGGCCUCUCCGCAAUACAG
RNAcentral lists this unclassified non-coding RNA (2028 nucleotides) under Leishmania donovani. Its description in RNAcentral is "gene:unknown". Lineage: Eukaryota; Euglenozoa; Kinetoplastea; Trypanosomatida; Trypanosomatidae. The record is from RNAcentral.